AUUGAACGCUGGCGGCAUGCCUUACACAUGCAAGUCGAACGGUAACAGGUCUUCGGAUGCUGACGAGUGGCGAACGGGUGAGUAAUACAUCGGAACGUGCCCGAUCGUGGGGGAUAACGAGGCGAAAGCUUUGCUAAUACCGCAUACGAUCUACGGAUGAAAGCGGGGGAUCUUCGGACCUCGCGCGGACGGAGCGGCCGAUGGCAGAGUAGGUGGUUGGUGGGAUAAAAGCUUACCAAGACGACGAUCUGUAGCUGGACUGGGAGGCUGAUGAGCGACAUUGGAACGUGGACCCGGCCCUGACUCCUACGGUAGGCCGCAGUGGGGAAUGUUGGGCAAUGGUCGAGAGCCUUAUCCAGCGGUGCCGCGUGCAGGGUGAAGGCCUUCGGGUUGUAAUCUGCUUUUUUGCGUAGCGAAACGCCUCUUUCUGAUAAGGAGGGGUCAUGACGGUACCGUAAGAAUAAGCACCGGCUAACUACGUG
RNAcentral lists this ribosomal RNA (482 nucleotides) under uncultured bacterium. RNAcentral's name for it is "partial 16S ribosomal RNA". It matches the Rfam family "Bacterial small subunit ribosomal RNA", at positions 30 to 507 of the family's 1533-position model. The record is from RNAcentral.